This 465-nucleotide ribosomal RNA is filed under the name uncultured bacterium. RNAcentral describes it as "partial 16S ribosomal RNA". It matches the Rfam family "Bacterial small subunit ribosomal RNA", at positions 28 to 507 of the family's 1533-position model. The record is from RNAcentral.
GACGAACGCUGGCGGCGUGCUUAGCACAUGCAAGUCGAACGGAAAGGCCCCUUUGGGGGUACUCGAGUGGCGAACGGGUGAGUAACACGUGAGUAACCUGCCCUUGACUUCGGGAUAACUUCAGGAAACUGGGGCUAAUACCGGAUAGGAAUCCUUGCUGCAUGGUGGGGGUUGGAAAGCUUCGGCGGUUUUGGAUGGACUCGCGGCUUAUCAGCUUGUUGGUGGGGUAGUGGCUUACCAAGGCUUUGACGGGUAGCCGGCCUGAGAGGGCGACCGGCCACAUUGGGACUGAGAUACGGCCCAGACUCCUACGGGAGGCAGCAGUGGGGAAUAUUGCACAAUGGGCGGAAGCCUGAUGCAGCAACGCCGCGGGCGGGAUGACGGCCUUCGGGUUGUAAACCGCUUUCAGCAGGGGCGAAGCUUGUGGUGACGGUACCUGCAGAAGAAGCACCGGCUAACUACGUG